RNAcentral lists this ribosomal RNA (94 nucleotides) under Telipogon pogonostalix. RNAcentral describes it as "5.8S ribosomal RNA". It matches the Rfam family "5.8S ribosomal RNA", at positions 1 to 89 of the family's 154-position model. Rfam says of the family: 5.8S ribosomal RNA (5.8S rRNA) is a component of the large subunit of the eukaryotic ribosome. It is transcribed by RNA polymerase I as part of the 45S precursor that also contains 18S and 28S rRNA. RNAcentral also lists the same sequence under 6 other names. The record is from RNAcentral. Lineage: Eukaryota; Viridiplantae; Streptophyta; Magnoliopsida; Asparagales; Orchidaceae.
AACAUGACUCUCGGCAAUGGAUAUCUUGGCUCUUGCAUCGAUGAAGAGCGCAGCGAAAUGCGAUACGUGGUGCGAAUUGCAGAAUCCCGCGAAC